GACGAACGCUGGCGGCGUGCUUAACACAUGCAAGUCGAACGGUGAAGGGACUGGUUUUGCUGGUCCUGGAUGAGUGGCGAACGGGUGAGCAACACGUGAGUAACCUGCCCCCUUCUUCUGGAUAACCGCAUGAAAGUGUGGCUAAUACGGGAUAUUCUGGGUCUGUCGCAUGGUGGGCCUGGGAAAGAUUGCGCCUUUUUUGGUGUUUUUGGUGGGGGAUGGGCUCGCGGCCUAUCAGCUUGUUGGUGGGGUGAUGGCCUACCAAGGCGGUGACGGGUAGCCGGCCUGAGAGGGUGGACGGUCACACUGGGACUGAGACACGGCCCAGACUCCUACGGGAGGCAGCAGUGGGGAAUAUUGCACAAUGGGCGCAAGCCUGAUGCAGCGACGCCGCGUGAGGGAUGGAGGCCUUCGGGUUGUGAACCUCUUUCGCCAGUGAAGCAGGCCUGCCUCGUUUGUGGGUGGGU
RNAcentral lists this ribosomal RNA (467 nucleotides) under uncultured bacterium. RNAcentral describes it as "bacterial SSU rRNA". It matches the Rfam family "Bacterial small subunit ribosomal RNA", at positions 28 to 473 of the family's 1533-position model. The record is from RNAcentral.